This 494-nucleotide ribosomal RNA is filed under the name uncultured bacterium. Its description in RNAcentral is "partial 16S ribosomal RNA". It matches the Rfam family "Bacterial small subunit ribosomal RNA", at positions 28 to 507 of the family's 1533-position model. The record is from RNAcentral.
GACGAACGCUGGCGGCGUGCUUAACACAUGCAAGUCGAACGGUGAAGCGCCUUCCUUUUUGGUGGGUGUGGAUGAGUGGCGAACGGGUGAGUAACACGUGAGUAACCUGCCCCCUUCUUCUGGAUAACCGCAUGAAAGUGUGGCUAAUACGGGAUAUUCUGGGUCUGUCGCAUGAUGGGUCUGGGAAAGAUAUUGUUUCGGUGGGGGAUGGGCUCGCGGCCUAUCAGCUUGUUGGUGGGGUGAUGGCCUACCAAGGCGGUGACGGGUAGCCGGCCUGAGAAGGUGGACGGUCACACUGGGACUGAGACACGGCCCAGACUCCUACGGGAGGCAGCAGUGGGGAAUAUUGCACAAUGGGCGCAAGCCUGAUGCAGCGACGCCGCGUGAGGGAUGGAGGCCUUCGGGUUGUGAACCUCUUUCGCCAGUGAAGCAGGCCUGCCUAGUUUGUGGGUGGGUUGACGGUAGCUGGAUAAGAAGCGCCGGCUAACUACGUG